RNAcentral lists this ribosomal RNA (314 nucleotides) under uncultured Gammaproteobacteria bacterium. RNAcentral's name for it is "bacterial SSU rRNA". It matches the Rfam family "Bacterial small subunit ribosomal RNA", at positions 114 to 431 of the family's 1533-position model. The record is from RNAcentral. Lineage: Bacteria; Pseudomonadati; Pseudomonadota; Gammaproteobacteria.
UGCAUAGGAAUCUGCCCAGUAGUGGGGGAUAACGUGGAGAAAUCCACGCUAAUACCGCAUAUGUCCUACGGGACAAAGCAGGGGACCUUCGGGCCUUGCGCUAUUGGAUGAGCCUAUGUCGGAUUAGCUAGUUGGUAGGGUAAAAGCCUACCAAGGCAACGAUCCGUAGCUGGUCUGAGAGGAUGAUCAGCCACACUGGGACUGAGACACGGCCCAGACUCCUACGGGAGGCAGCAGUGGGGAAUAUUGCACAAUGGGCGCAAGCCUGAUGCAGCAAUGCCGCGUGUGUGAAGAAGGCCUGCGGGUUGUAAAGC